Molecule: ribosomal RNA, 505 nt
Filed under: uncultured bacterium
Lineage: Bacteria
Description: partial 16S ribosomal RNA
Rfam family: Bacterial small subunit ribosomal RNA
Source: RNAcentral
GACGAACGCUGGCGGCGUGCCUAAUACAUGCAAGUAGAACGCACAGUUUAUACCGUUGCUUGCUACACCAUAGACUGUGAGUUGCGAAUGGGUGAUUAACGCGUAGGUAACCUGCCUGGUAGCGGGUGGUAACUAUGGGAAACGAUAGCUAAUAUCGCAUAAUAUUAAUUAUUGCAUGAUAAUUGAUUGAAAGAUUCAACUUCAUCACUACCAGAUGGACCCACGUUGUAUUAGCUAGUAGGUGAGGUAACGGCUCACCUAGGCGACCAUACAUCGCCGACCUGGGGAGGUGAUCGGGCCACAUGGGAACGGGGACCGGGCCCAACCUCUUAGGGGGGGCACAGUAGGGAAACUUCGGGCAUGGGCGAAAGUCCGACCGGGCAAAGGCGGGUGAGGGAAGAAGGUUUUCGGAUCGUAAAGCUCCGUUGUUAGGGAAGAACGGAUGUGGGAGGUGACAGUUCACACUGUGACGGUAUCUUAUCAGAAAGGGACGGCUAACUACGUG